GAUGAAGAACGUAGCGAAAUGCGAUAACUAAUGUGAAUUGCAGAAUUCCGUGAAUCAUCGAGUCUUUGAACGCACAUUGCGCCCCCUGGUAUUCCGGGGGGCAUGCCUGUCCGAGCGUCAUUGCUGCCCAUCAAGCACGGCUUGUGUGUUGGGUCCCGUCCCCCUCUCGCGGGGGACGGACCCGAAAGGCAGCGGCGGCACCGCGUCCGGUCCUCGAGCGUAUGGGGCUUUGUCACCCGCUCUUGUAGGCCCGGCCGGCGCUUGCCGACACCCAACCAUUUUUUUCAGGUUGACCUCGGAUCAGGUAGGGAUACCCGCUGAACUUAAGCAUAUCAAUAAGCGGAGGA
This 347-nucleotide unclassified non-coding RNA is filed under the name soil metagenome. Its description in RNAcentral is "partial contains 5.8S ribosomal RNA, internal transcribed spacer 2, and large subunit ribosomal RNA". The stretch from base 1 to 120 matches the Rfam family "5.8S ribosomal RNA", at positions 35 to 154 of the family's 154-position model. The record is from RNAcentral.